This is a long non-coding RNA of Varroa destructor (honeybee mite), 1890 nucleotides long. RefSeq lists it as uncharacterized. The record is from RefSeq and is a predicted model, not a curated record. NCBI's taxonomy places the organism in Eukaryota, Metazoa, Arthropoda, Arachnida, Mesostigmata, Varroidae.
AGACACAGAGGAGCAAUGGCUCCAGUACGUAGUCCCCAAGUUUCAGCCCUUGGCCUCAUAAUGUGAUAUCUAACAAACGACUUUUUAAAUUUAAGAAAGCUACAAAGAAACACUACUAAUCGGCACCACUGACAGAGUGUUCAACGAGUUGAGUCGUUACACACAUAUAUAUCGUGUGCUUCUAUAUUAAAUUUAUUUUAACAACAAGAAGCAUUACUUUGUGCGGCAUAUGGCAAUAUGAAGGAAAGGCGAGGUGCGACGGGAGGUAACAACUAACCAACGCCAACGGAUAUAUAGACAUUAGAUGUGCGCACGUGGUACACGCACCCCUUCAUCACAGACCAGUUCCGUCACUCGUGCAAUAACAGCGUUAAGAAUAUCAGCAUUAACAACAACAACAACAACAACAACGAUGUCAGAUGUUUUGUGAAUAGAAGGCAACUGAUUCACUGUCGCUGCGGGACCUGCGAUGGCGGACGUCAAUUACGAACUAUGAAAGUGUCGGGCGACAGCAGUCGGCGUUCUGGCAGUACUCAUAUACCGUCAACUGGGCCGGGGUCGCUUCCAAUACAUCUCUUUUCUCCACUCAAUCCGCCAGGGCAAAUUGCCCCGCAGUCAAUUCGCAGGUAGACAGCAUAUACUACACAGAGGAGAGAACAACCGGCGACUGCUCUAAACGUUGCACGUUCCGUCUGCUACAUCAAAUGAUCGUGCUAGCAUUUAACCCGCCGGUUAAAAUCGUUGACAGAACGAAGUAGGUGCUGCUAGUGGGGUAGACGUCGUCGUGGAACCUGGUCCUUCGCGCAAAUUAAUGACGCAUGUAUGUAGGUGCCGCUGCUAACAACUGAAUAGAUUUCGUCGUUCGUCAUUAUCGAUAUAUCAUAGACGACAGAACAAGCUGCACCGGAAUAUUCGUAUAAGUACACCAACAGAGGCAUACUUCUACAAGCAAGCUCGCAAUAGAGAAUCAAUAGAGCGGGGCAUAACAGUCAGUUGGUUCGGGUUGCCAGGCAAGAUUUUGUCUGCUUCUGCUGUGGAACGUAUCGACCGCGGACGAGCCGAUGACCGCAUGCAUCGCCAUCUUCAGCCGGCUUUAGGGAUACUUCCGGGACAAUUGUCGGCAGCAUCUUCUGAUCAACAGACCAUUCUGAUUCAUUCGCUGCAAUCGGAUCUACAUGAGUGGCUCCUUAGCUGUUUUGCACGUGAUCGAUAUACCCUCGGGAACAUUAUCGUGCAGCGUACACUAAGACAAAGAUCUGAAUCUGAAAGUUUAUAGCGAUUUUCAUAUUACAUUGACGCGUCUUUCAUGUGUCAUGCUGCAAUUUUUUCGCUAUCAUGCCCGUGCGCGCUUGCUCGUACACCUGUAUAAGCAUCCAUACAACUGCGUAUUUUUCGUGCGUCAGUGGUUGGUUGCUCUUGUGCUCGUGUACUUCUAUAUGACGAAGACGACGAAAGUGAAAACUGCCGUCUCUGUUUUAAUGUUUUCUUUAUGGCGAAGCUGCUAUAAACGGAUAUGGACGGAUGCGAUCACCAUCAAACGGUCGACCGCGUUAAUGCUUAAAAAUGACGACGAAAACUGCGCGGCAAUAGUAGCUGUCGUGCCGGCCGAGGAAACUCGGAAGAUAAGAGAUAGAGGAGCACUGGCGGGGUUAGGCUGACCUUGGCCAUUGUCAUCGGGAAAUACCGUCCACACGCAUCCGCUUAUUUGCCUACCCGUCAGUUUAUCGGUUCGAUCAUCAAGUAACGACGAUUCAUCUCUGCUGUGUGACGGGGAAGUUCUUAUGCUUGCUUGUUCUUUCCUCAAUAUGUCUAUUAUUCAUCUGUCUGUGUCCGUGCGUGUUCGCUUCGCUGGGGCGCUUUUGCAACGAUCCCCUGGAUCGAUCUAGCCGU